UCUUCUUCUUCUUCUUCAGCUUCUACAUCUAAUGUAAUAAGUGCAUCUGCUCUUAGAGCUAGAAAGGGCUCUUAGGCAGUUACCAUAUAACCUUUCAUUACAGAAUGGUUGUGGUCGCAGAGCACGGUAAGAAUAAUACCUCGGGUCACCUACAAGAAGUGUUUGAAUCUCUUUUUCUUUAAUGGAUUCAUCAGCUAUGCGCUCACGGCCAUUGCAUGAAAUGUUUCUGACAGCGUCAAGAAGGGCCGCCCUGCUUGUUGAUAUGCCUGUGCUGCAGAAUACAACCAGCAGAAUAGCUAGACACAGUGUGACGCGUCCUCUCUUCGAUGCAGUUGCCAUUUUGUUCUCCUCCUACUUUCUUUGCUCUCAGUUUCUUUGUCUGCGUGGGGUUUGUGAGUAACCAAAUAUCGGAAAAGGCAAGAAUAUGAAAUUUGCUUCAACAAAAUGUUAAACUUAACAGGACUGACACGAGGCAUUAAUAUAGUAGGUGUUAGUCAUGUCGGUUUGGUUUUUUGACUCAUUUCAAAUUGAUUCGGUUUUUGAUCCAUUUUGGGCAACUGAUCAAUGAAAAAUAGUAGAUUAAUAAUAACAAUAAUAAGAACUUGCUUUAAAUUUAGUUAAUUGAAAAAUGGUGUAGAGGUUGGCACUAGAAAG
RNAcentral lists this unclassified non-coding RNA (654 nucleotides) under Hevea brasiliensis (rubber tree). Lineage: Eukaryota; Viridiplantae; Streptophyta; Magnoliopsida; Malpighiales; Euphorbiaceae. The record is from RNAcentral.